RNAcentral lists this ribosomal RNA (464 nucleotides) under uncultured bacterium. RNAcentral describes it as "partial 16S ribosomal RNA". It matches the Rfam family "Bacterial small subunit ribosomal RNA", at positions 28 to 507 of the family's 1533-position model. The record is from RNAcentral.
GAUGAACGCUGGCGGCGUGCUUAACACAUGCAAGUCGAACGGAAAGGCUCCUGCUUGCAGGGGUACUCGAGUGGCGAACGGGUGAGUAACACGUGGGUGAUCUGCCCUGCACUUCGGGAUAAGCCUGGGAAACUGGGUCUAAUACCGGAUAGGACCACAUUUUGGAUGGUGUGGUGGAAAGUUUUUCGGUGUGGGAUGAGCUCGCGGCCUAUCAGCUUGUUGGUGGGGUAAUGGCCUACCAAGGCGUCGACGGGUAGCCGGCCUGAGAGGGUGUCGGCCACAUUGGGACUGAGAUACGGCCCAGACUCCUACGGGAGGCAGCAGUGGGGAAUAUUGCACAAUGGGCGCAAGCCUGAUGCAGCGACGCCGCGUGGGGGAUGACGGCCUUCGGGUUGUAAACUCCUUUCGCUAGGGACGAAGCGCAAGUGACGGUACCUGGAGAAGAAGCACCGGCUAACUACGUG